RNAcentral lists this ribosomal RNA (484 nucleotides) under uncultured bacterium. RNAcentral describes it as "partial 16S ribosomal RNA". It matches the Rfam family "Bacterial small subunit ribosomal RNA", at positions 28 to 507 of the family's 1533-position model. The record is from RNAcentral.
AUUGAACGCUGGCGGCAUGCUUUACACAUGCAAGUCGAACGGCAGCGCGGGCUUCGGCCUGGCGGCGAGUGGCGAACGGGUGAGUAAUGCAUCGGAACGUGCCCAGUAGUUGGGGAUAGCCCGGCGAAAGCCGGAUUAAUACCGCAUACGACCUGAGGGUGAAAGCGGGGGACCGAAAGGCCUCGCGCUAUUGGAGCGGCCGAUGUCGUAUUAGCUAGUUGGUGGGGUAAAGGCUUACCAAGGCGACGAUGCGUAGCUGGUCUGAGAGGACGACCCGCCACACUGAGACUGAGACGCGGCCCAGAGUCCUACGGGAGGCAGCAGUGGGGAAUUUUGGACAAUGGGGGCAACCCUGAUCCAGCCAUGCCGCGUGCGGGAAGAAGGCCUUCGGGUUGUAAAACGCUUUUGUUCGGGAAGAAAUCCUUUGGGCUAAUACCCCGGGGGGAUGACGGUACCGGAAGAAUAAGCACCGGCUAACUACGUG